Molecule: long non-coding RNA, 1844 nt
Organism: Bos indicus x Bos taurus (hybrid cattle)
Lineage: Eukaryota; Metazoa; Chordata; Mammalia; Artiodactyla; Bovidae
Source: Ensembl
GAUGCACUAAUUGGGGCUCUGGUGAUGUCGAUUCUAAAGCAAUGAAGCUUCUGUGGUUUGUGAUUGGAGCCCCAGGUCAGGUCUGAGGCCCUCGCCGUUGCAUCCCUUUGGGUUGCUGAGAUUCCUGAGUGCCAUGUGGGCUGCAGUGGCUGCAGAGACCUGGGGGAAUGGUGGCAGUUGUGAAAGUUAAUAGGCCCAUUUCUGCCCUUGGCAGUGGCUGAAUUGCAACUCCUGUCACGUGCUUGAGUCUUGGAGGUCGCCAUGGACUAUGCUGGGUCCUAGGCCUGCAUUCCUCCUGCAGGUUGGCCAGAGGCCCAGAGAAGAAUGUUUGUGCAGGUCUUCUGAAGUCUUCCUGAAAGCAUCCCUGGUGAUCUGUGAGCCCUUGGUCGUGUUGCCCGCCUUCUUCCUGUGGGUCUUGCUGGAUGCUCAAUGUCCCUUUGUGGAGCAGAAGACCUGGUGGCUUCUGAUGUGGGUGAGUCACACUGGGGGUGGAUGGAAGAGUUCAAUUUGUAGGAGUUUUUCCUGGGUAUGGUUGGUUCCAGGGCCCUGGCAGGCUGUGGAUCUGAGCAUUAUCUGGCCGGCAAAGGGGCCCAGUUUCUGUGGGAGUGACCCCUGGAUCCUGGUACCUGAGGAAGACCAGGUCCCAUCUUGCACUUCCAGUGGAGCCUCGGAGAGUGGAUUAGCUCACUGGGCAGGAAGAGGCUCAUGCCCUGAAUUAUUUUGCCCUUUUAAGGAAUGGUGGGCCCAUAUCUGCCCCUGGGUCAUGUUCCCAAUACUUUUGACCUUCUUUGGGAAAGUUUCCUUGAUCCAGGAGGAGGUGGGUCUUGUCACCAUGGACACCUGAGCUGUAGUUUUAGCUGACAUGUCUCAUGGUACAUGCAUUCACACAGUUGCUCUGCCAGGCGACCUUGGGCAGUCAGGUUUAUGUUCAUAGUGAGAGGGGCAUGGGUCGAAGAGAUCAUGAGCCCAUGCCCUAUUUCAACAGCCCCUCAGGAUGAAAUUUUGCAUGGAGCUUGGUGGACAGUGGCAAGGCAUCAUCUGCCAUUUUGUUUGGACAGCAGAAAGUCAGGUUUCUGUGGUGAAGGCACACGUGUUAAGACACCAAGGCCUUGGAGUGGGACUCUGAGUCCUGGAGACACCUGGAAGGAGUUUCAGAGGCACACCCAGAGUCUUGAGGCACAUUCUUCUUGGUACACUGGAACAACACACACACAGACCCAUAUCAAAUCCCCUGCCACACACACAUACUUCAGACGACAGACACCGAUAGGAACUUUAAGAUAAUUUCCUACCUUUUUGCUAUAGAUACGUAUCCAGUCAUACAUGAGGGAUCGAGGUAGUUCAGAAGCAGAUGCAGGCUUUACCUCAGGGAACCAUGGACACCGAUAUUAUUCAUGUGAGAACCCGGGUGCACAUUUGAAGCAUGCUUGUGCUUUCUGUCCACUUGUCAGGUGAAGUUGCCACGUAUGACUGUCCAUCAGCCAGGAGAUGAACCCCCACCCGUGAGGCAGUGACUCAAGGUGCAAGGGUCCGGCAAGAAGUGUGGCGCACCCGAGUUGCUGCCACUGCUUUUUGGAUCACCCAGCACGGUACGGCUUCUCCUGCCCCAAGACGUGUCGUGAAUUUCAGGUUUCCUGGGACUGCCUGAGUGGUUGUUCGUAUAGAGGGACCGUUCCUCUUGCUGAGAAGCCUGAGGGCUCUGAGUUCCCUGGCUGCUGGAGGACUCCCGGGUCACUGGCUCCUCCUGGGAGCAGCCCUUCCUGCCGUGAGGAGGUGGGCAGCAAGCCAGCACGUGCUCGGAUCGAUGAUGACACCCUCACAUGCAUUCCUUGGAAAAUCUGAAC